GAUGAACGCUGGCGGCGUGCCUAAUACAUGCCAGUCGAGCGAACGGACGAGAAGCUUGCUUCUCUGAUGUUAGCGGCGGACGGGUGAGUAACACGUGGAUACCCUACCUAUAAGACUGGGAUAACUUCGGGAAACCGGAGCUAAUACCGGAUAAUAUUUUGAACCGCAUGGUUCAAAAGUGAAAGACGGUCUUGCUGUCACUUAUAGAUGGAUCCGCGCUGCAUUAGCUAGUUGGUAAGGUAACGGCUUACCAAGGCAACGAUGCAUAGCCGACCUGAGAGGGUGAUCGGCCACACUGGAACGGAGACACGGUCCAGACUCCUACGGGAGGCAGCAGUAGGGAAUCGUCCGCAAUGGGCGAAAGCCUGACGGAGCAACGCCGCGUGAGUGAUGAAGGUCUUCGGAUCGUAAAACUCUGUUAUUAGGGAAGAACAUAUGUGUAAGUAACUGUGCACAUCUUGACGGUACCUAAUCAGAAAGCCACGGCUAACUACGUG
Molecule: ribosomal RNA, 497 nt
Filed under: uncultured bacterium
Lineage: Bacteria
Description: partial 16S ribosomal RNA
Rfam family: Bacterial small subunit ribosomal RNA
Source: RNAcentral